This 191-nucleotide small RNA is filed under the name Cyphellophora attinorum. RNAcentral describes it as "Phialophora attae A. fumigatus sRNA Afu_182". It matches the Rfam family "A. fumigatus sRNA Afu_182". Lineage: Eukaryota; Fungi; Ascomycota; Eurotiomycetes; Chaetothyriales; Cyphellophoraceae. The record is from Rfam by way of RNAcentral.
AUAUGAACAACGCAAAUUUAUAACGUUCCUUCUAAAAGCAUUCCUACGAGGUCGCCCUAGGUGGUCCAUGAAGUACGGAAAUCGUCUAUCGGAAUGGAGAUCAAAUUCAAUAUUAGGCCGAUUAUGGGUGCAGUGCCAGCCUGUGGCUCUCAAGAUGCUCGUGGUUGGGACUGCAAUGAUUGGCCGAACAC